UACGGAGGGCGCAAGCGUUACUCGGAAUCACUGGGCGUAAAGAGCGUGUAGGCGGGUUUGUAAGUUGGGAGUGAAAUCCUAUGGCUCAACCAUAGAACUGCUUCCAAAACUGCUUACCUAGAAUGAGGGAGAGGUAGAUGGAAUUUCUGGUGUAGGGGUAAAAUCCGUAGAGAUCAGAAGGAAUACCGAUUGCGAAGGCGAUCUACUGGAACUUUAUUGACGCUGAGACGCGAAAGCGUGGGGAGCAAACAGG
This 253-nucleotide ribosomal RNA is filed under the name uncultured bacterium. RNAcentral describes it as "partial 16S ribosomal RNA". It matches the Rfam family "Bacterial small subunit ribosomal RNA", at positions 524 to 776 of the family's 1533-position model. The record is from RNAcentral.